This 497-nucleotide ribosomal RNA is filed under the name uncultured bacterium. RNAcentral's name for it is "partial 16S ribosomal RNA". It matches the Rfam family "Bacterial small subunit ribosomal RNA", at positions 28 to 507 of the family's 1533-position model. The record is from RNAcentral.
GAUGAACGCUGGCGGCGUGCCUAAUACAUGCAAGUCGAGCGAACAGACGAGGAGCUUGCUCCUCUGACGUUAGCGGCGGACGGGUGAGUAACACGUGGAUAACCUACCUAUAAGACUGGGAUAACUUCGGGAAACCGGAGCUAAUACCGGAUAAUAUAUUGAACCGCAUGGUUCAAUAGUGAAAGACGGUUUUGCUGUCACUUAUAGAUGGAUCCGCGCCGCAUUAGCUAGUUGGUAUGGUAAUGGCUUACCAAGGCAACGAUGCGUAGCCGACCUGAGAGGGUGAUCGGCCACACUGGAACUGAGACACGGUCCAGACUCCUACGGGAGGCAGCAGUAGGGAAUCUUCCGCAAUGGGCGAAAGUCUGACGGAGCAACGCCGCGUGAGUGAUGAAGGUCUUCGGAUCGUAAAACUCUGUUAUUAGGGAAGAACAAAUGUGUAAGUAACUAUGCACGUCUUGACGGUACCUAAUCAGAAAGCCACGGCUAACUACGUG